GACGAACGCUGGCGGCGUGCUUAACACAUGCAAGUCGAACGGAGUUUAAGAGGAAGCUUGCGAAUCUUAAACUUAGUGGCGGACGGGUGAGUAACGCGUGGAUAACCUGCCUACAUGACUGGGACAACACCGGGAAACUGGUGCUAAUACCGGAUACGCUCAUCUUUAUACAUGUAGAGAUGAGGAAAGGAGAAAUCCGCAGGUAGAUGGGUCCGCGUCCCAUUAGCUAGUUGGGGGUGUAACGGACCACCAAGGCGACGAUGGGUAGCCGGCCUGAGAGGGUGAACGGCCACACUGGAACUGAGACACGGUCCAGACUCCUACGGGAGGCUG
Molecule: ribosomal RNA, 333 nt
Filed under: uncultured Bacillota bacterium
Lineage: Bacteria; Bacillati; Bacillota
Description: bacterial SSU rRNA
Rfam family: Bacterial small subunit ribosomal RNA
Source: RNAcentral